Molecule: long non-coding RNA, 709 nt
Organism: Lycium barbarum (goji berry)
Lineage: Eukaryota; Viridiplantae; Streptophyta; Magnoliopsida; Solanales; Solanaceae
Exons: 2
Source: RefSeq, a predicted model, not a curated record
UAGUAGUAAAUACGAUUUGCAUUAUCUUCCUCCUUCCUUUAUUUGUCUGUUUUACACCCUUUAUUUGCUUUAAAUUUUUACCUCCAUAAGACCAUAACUGACCUAUUAAUUUCUGCUCUUAAUAGUAUUUAUAAUUCAUGCUUUCCAAGUUUUCAUAUUCCUAACCCCCAAAAUUUAAUUUAAAAGUUUAAGAUACCUUAUGGUAUUUCUCCAUCUACUCCUAUAUAAAUUCAUAUUUUUUGUUUCAUGAGACUCUACCCAAAGUUAUCCUCAAUUUUCACUGCAGUAUUAUAUUCAUGUUUUUCUUACUUGAAGAAGAAGAACGCUCUUGAAUGGUGAUAGGCUUGUGGGAGUGAAUAUCAACAAGAGCUUCCUAAAUUAUCUGUGGCGCAGCGGUGUGCAAUAAAUCGAGUUGCAUGUUCUUUUGUUGAUUGAAUUUACAGUUAAGGGAGUACAUUGUUAUUGUAUUUGGAUGGAGAUGAGAGUUGUGGAAAUCACGGGCAGUAUAUGCACAUACAUUAUAGUUUUUAGUCUCUUUCUGUGUGUUUAAUUUGUUUUAAAAUCGUUGUAAGUUGCAAGAAUAAAUAUUGUGUUCUUCUUCUAAAGAAGAUGAUCACAUGUGAAUUCCUAACGCUUUUUUUUCUCCAUGGAAUCAAUUGUAAGUCUGAGUAUUUAUAGAAACAACCGAGUAAGUGUAACUUUUUUAAUC